UAUUGUACAAUUGUGAUGUUUUAUAUGUAUUUUUCCCACCCUGUGUUUGUAAUUACGUCUUGUGAAGUGUGAACGCCUAUUCUUAGCAGCACCUUUCAACGCCUGACUGCAAUUUAUUAUCAUAUUUCCAUGAUUUCUAUGAUCUGGAGUCAGUCUUGAAGGGAUUACGCCAUUUGCUGUGUCCCUAGAUGUUUACGGAAUAAAUACAAGUGUUGUUUUGAAAGCGUUGGACCUACGAGUACAUAGAGUGCAUCCAUCUGUACAUCGAUGGAAACGAAUUACAGAAUUUCAGAGCAGUGACCGAAAAUGAGAGUGAGAGUUGAGAGGGAACAAAGUCAGAGUCGUAAAAAAACGCUAUGUAUAGACUUCUGAAUACCAUUCUAAUAAUUGGUGGAAUAUUUAUAUAUUUGUAAGUGUAUAUUUCGUUUAUAUUCAUUGCUUUAAGGAUUUUUAAUAUUGUAAGCAAUUAAACUGUCGCUAUAGGCAACGCCAAUGCGACCGUUUUUGAUUAUUUGCCUAAUCCUAGUUACACGGGAUCGUGAAAUAUUUAAAUUGAUAGCAUUAGCAGUGGCCAACGCACUGACAUGUGUAAAAAG
Molecule: long non-coding RNA, 596 nt
Organism: Drosophila santomea
Lineage: Eukaryota; Metazoa; Arthropoda; Insecta; Diptera; Drosophilidae
Exons: 3
Source: RefSeq, a predicted model, not a curated record